AAAGUAGCAAGUGAGGCUGGAGUAGGCGGCGAGAAUUCAGAGGGAGUUGGCAAGCAGAUGGAGGGUAGGUGUAAUGACAAAUUAAAAGGGACUAAACUUCGCUAUGAAGCCCAGGCUAGCCAAGAACCCAAAGCAAUCCUCCUGCCGCAUCCCCCCGAGUAGUGGGAUUUCAGGCCGGGUGUUGUGCGAUGCUGGGGACUGAACCAACUGAGAGACGCGCGCAGCCAGGACGAGCGUUUCGGAUGCAGGACUCCCGCCUGAGCCUCUCACCUGCGCCUGGAUGUAGAGAGACACACAGCCGAGCGACAGGCGGUAAGGGCGCAGCAGCGACAGGCACCUGACCAGAUGCUCCUCGCCGGCAGACAGUUCCUCCGUGUCGAUGUGGUUCACGCCGAGGUGGAACUCGAUCACCGCGAGGCGCAGCGCCCGCUGCGCUCCGGGGCCCUCGGCCUCCCGGGGCUCGCCCGCGCCCAAGGCCUGGUCCCCCGGCCCAUCGUCAGCGGCCCGCUCGUCCUCGUCCUCGGGCGCCGGGCCCAGCAGCGCGCGCACCUCCUCCAACAGCGCGCGCGCGCCGUACUUGGACUUGUACGGCUCCUUCUCCGGGUUCUUGUGCAGCUCCACCCGCGACAGGGCCAGCGCUGCCUGGAACUUCUCGCGGAUCUCUGGCCCCGGAGCGUUCGCCAUCGCAGCCUGAGCUGACGGCCACCUUCCCCGCCCGUGGACCGUCAGCCACUGGAGGCCUCCGCGUUGCGACUCUUCACUUACGACGCGUCGUGACGGUGGGGCGCCGACCAAUGAAGUCGGUAGAGGGGAGCGCUAGACGCUUGGCAGCAGCCAAUGGGAGGGCGUUCUGGUCGCCACAACAGCGGUCGUCAGGGAAACGAAGCUGUCAGGGAGUACAGCGCUUUCCGCUGCCACCCGUGAGCAGUAUGGCUUCUCCCGCUUCAUCCCAAAAUGUAGUUUAUACAAAAGUGUUCAGAAUCAGAAUGAUUCUUAGGGGUAAGGUACUUGCCUAUCGUAGACUCAAUCCCCAGCUUAAAUGAAAUUCAGGAUAUUGUUAACACUAACAUCUUUCCAUAAUUGCUCAGUUGAUAGGCAGGAAUCUUUCACUAUUAAUGUAUUAGGCUAUCACAGUUAAAAAUUAUAGUCGUAGGAAACCUGUACCACGGUCUCAGGGAUCAAAUUCAGAUCCUCAGGCUCAGCCUCCACAGCCUUUACUCACUAGAGCCAUGUCACACCACCACCGCCCAGCCCCUGAAAAUUUUAUAAAGGCUCCGAGCUAGGCAUGGUGCCAAUGAUCUGCAGGCUUAUAUACAGGGGCCAGUGUUGAUAUGUAUCAUAAUGCUAAAUUCUGUAGCCUACGAUUGAAUUCUCAUGUUUA
Molecule: long non-coding RNA, 1381 nt
Filed under: Mus pahari (shrew mouse)
Lineage: Eukaryota; Metazoa; Chordata; Mammalia; Rodentia; Muridae
Description: RIKEN cDNA 4933428P19 gene (MGP_PahariEiJ_G0003946.1)
Source: RNAcentral